CGCGUAGGUGGCUUUGUAAGCGGGCGGUGAAAGUCCGGGGCUCAACCCCGGAUCGGCCGUGCGGACUGCAAAGCUCGAGCACUGUAGAGGCAGGUGGAAUUCCGGGUGUAGCGGUGGAAUGCGUAGAGAUCCGGAGGAACACCAGUGGCGAAGGCGGCCUGCUGGGCAGUGGCUGACACUGAGGCGCGACAGCGUGGGGAGCAAACAGGAUUAGAUACCCUGGUAGUCCACGCCGUAAACGAUGGGCACUAGGUGCUUCGGGGAGCGACCCUCGGAGUGCCGGCGCUAACGCAUUAAGUGCCCCGCCUGGGGAGUACGGCCGCAAGGCUGAA
Molecule: ribosomal RNA, 332 nt
Filed under: uncultured Gemmatimonadota bacterium
Lineage: Bacteria; Pseudomonadati; Gemmatimonadota
Description: bacterial SSU rRNA
Rfam family: Bacterial small subunit ribosomal RNA
Source: RNAcentral